Ochotona princeps (American pika) is the source of this 1755-nucleotide RNA transcript. It is a transcript of the gene named choline kinase alpha, with no coding region annotated. The transcript has 13 exons. The record is from RefSeq and is a predicted model, not a curated record. NCBI's taxonomy places the organism in Eukaryota, Metazoa, Chordata, Mammalia, Lagomorpha, Ochotonidae.
GGCGGGCUGUGACGCGGCCGGCGCUCCUCGUGCGGCGGCGGCCGUAUAGGAGCGAGCGCCCGUUCUCGAACGCCAGCAGCCCGCUCGCCUCGGCCGCCCUCGGUUCUCCUCAGCCGCCUCCGGCGCCGUUCGCUCGCCCUCCUCAGCCGCCGCCCUCCGCCCCGCGGAGCGCUCUCAACCGCCGCUCGCCGGCCCUUAGAGCCUCGUCCUCCGGCGCUGCGGGCCGCCCGUCCGGCAUGAAGACCAAGUUCUGUACCGGGGACGAGGCGGAGCCCUCGGCGCUCGGGCUGCUGCUGAGCUGCGGCGGCGGCGGCGGCGGAGGGGCCCCGGCGGCGCCCGGCGCGGGGCAGCCGCAGCGGGACGCGGGCAGCGCGCUCGAGGCCAAGCAGCUGGGGGGCGGCGGGCAGCCGGUGUCCCCGCCGCCCGCGGCCGCCGAGCAGCCCGAGCCCCGCACGCGGCGCAGGGCCUAUCUGUGGUGCAAGGAGUUCCUGCCCGGCGCCUGGCGGGGUCUUCGCGAGGACCAGUUCCACAUCAGUGUCAUCAGGGGCGGCCUCAGUAACAUGCUGUUCCAGUGCUCUCUGCCAGACACCACUGCCAGUGUCAGCGACGAACCCCGCAAAGUGCUGCUGCGCCUGUACGGGGCCAUCUUGCAGAUGAGGUCCUGCAAUAAAGAGGGAUCCGAACAAACUCAGAAGGAAAGUGAAUUUCAAGGUGCUGAAGCGAUGGUCUUGGAGAGUGUCAUGUUUGCCAUUCUUGCCGAGAGGGCGCUUGGCCCAAAGCUGUAUGGCAUCUUCCCCCAAGGCCGCCUGGAGCAGUUCAUCCCGAGCCGGCGAUUAGACACUGAAGAAUUAAGUUUGCCAGAUAUUUCUGCUGAAAUAGCUGAGAAAAUGGCCACAUUUCAUGGUAUGAAAAUGCCAUUCAAUAAGGAACCCAAAUGGCUUUUUGGAACCAUGGAGAAGUACCUGAGUCAGGUACUGAGGGUGAAGUUCACUGAGGAGCCCAAAGCAAGGCAGCUGCAGAAGUUCCUCGCUUACAAUCUGCCCUUGGAGCUUCAGAAGCUGCGGUCACUGCUCGAGUCGACUCCGUCUCCAGUUGUGUUUUGUCAUAAUGACUGCCAAGAAGGAAACAUCCUGCUGCUGGAAGGCCGGGAGCACUUGGAGAAGGAGAAGCUGAUGCUCAUUGACUUUGAGUACAGCAGCUACAACUACAGGGGAUUCGACAUUGGCAAUCACUUCUGUGAGUGGGUGUAUGACUACAGCUCUGAGAAGUACCCAUUUUUCAGAGCGAAUCUUCACAAGUAUCCCACCAGGAAACAACAGCUCCAUUUCAUUUCCAGUUACUUGGCUGCUUUCCAGAGCAACGUUGCAAACCUCAGUAGUGAAGAGAGAGCCGCUGUAGAAGAAGCAAUGUUGGUGGAGAUCAAUAGCAUGGCCACCAAGACCUGCAGCUACCUCCUGUGAAUGUCAUCAUGUGUGCUAUGGCCAGGCAGCUGGGGUGCCCACACCUGCAGGUGCACCUCUCAUUCACCAGAGGUGGGAAGAGACUGGCCGUGGCAUUUCCGGUGUGCUCGGUGCCCGUAGACUAGCCCAUGGAUUGACCGGGGCAGACAGUUUGCAUCCAGAUAAGUUACAGUUUGCUCUUGCGUCCCAUUUCUUCUGGGGCCUCUGGUCCAUUGUACAGGCCAAGAUUUCAUCCAUUGAAUUUGGGUACAUGGAGUACGCCCAGGCCAGGUUUGAUGCCUAUUUCGACCAGAAG